RNAcentral lists this long non-coding RNA (701 nucleotides) under Cricetulus griseus (Chinese hamster). RNAcentral's name for it is "lncRNA (ENSCGRG00015037009.1)". Lineage: Eukaryota; Metazoa; Chordata; Mammalia; Rodentia; Cricetidae. The record is from RNAcentral.
GCUUGAGAACCACUGAGAUAGAGCCUUCAAAGCCUGUCUGGACUACAAAGUGAAUUCAAGGCUGGAUGGCACAGCUCAGUGAAUCUCUGGCAGUACAGUUGAUUUGGAGAGGAGAAGAACCUACUCCAGGAUGCUGGCCUGCCACUGUCUGCCUGCCCUUAGGUCUGAUCCAUCUGGACUGGGCAUCAUCUGGCCAAGGGACCACUUCUCAGGACAGCAGCUUCACCAGAAGCCAUAUGAAGAGGGUGGACACACACCUCUGCGCAUGUGUGGAGGACAAUGUUGGGGAAUAGGUUCUCUCCUUCUGCCAUGUGGGCGGGUUCUGUGAUCAAACUCAGGUCUUCAGACUUGGAUCCACACACCUUUACCAGCGGUGCCACCUCCCCAGCCCUUCUGGAACGCAUCCUAACGUGCAUUCUCAGAAGGAAACAGGAGAAGGUUCUGGGGAUUGAAAUCAGCUCACCAGGCUUGCUGGCCAGUGUGUUAACCCUCUAAGCCAUCUUGCCAGCCCCAAGAUCAGAGAAAUGAAUAGGUCUUGCCUGAGUUCCCACAGCUGGCAAAUGGAAGGGCAUCUAAGGCCAGACUAAAGGAAGGAACAGGAUCUGGGUAAGGCCAAUUUGGGGCCCAAACACCCCUUGAAAUAGUUUCUGAGAGGGGCUUGCUGCUGUUCAUUUUGGAAAAGACGAAGUGGUAUACCUACC